GUGCCAAAAUGUUCCUCUAGCUUGGUGGGCUUGCAAAGUGACACAUCCAAUUGAGAUGCUUGGCAAGCUGCGUGUGGAAAGUUUUCACAUCUUGUCAUCCUUGUUUUAAGGAGUCUUCCCUGUCAGCACAGAAAAGGUAUGUGGAGACCAAAGCCAAGGGGCUGUUUUCCUGAGGGAAUUCACACUGAUUCGAAGAGAGAGCCUUCAUGAAGAUUUCCUGUCUGACUUCUUGAAUGGUCACAAAACUGAAGACCCGACUCUAUAUUGUGAUAACUGGACCAUGGGCUUCUGAGACUCUACUGUGCCUCUGGAUGUUGAGGUCAUACUAAGUCUGAAGGUGAAC
RNAcentral lists this long non-coding RNA (343 nucleotides) under Cricetulus griseus (Chinese hamster). RNAcentral describes it as "lncRNA (ENSCGRG00000025033.1)". Lineage: Eukaryota; Metazoa; Chordata; Mammalia; Rodentia; Cricetidae. The record is from RNAcentral.